This 253-nucleotide ribosomal RNA is filed under the name uncultured bacterium. Its description in RNAcentral is "partial 16S ribosomal RNA". It matches the Rfam family "Bacterial small subunit ribosomal RNA", at positions 524 to 776 of the family's 1533-position model. The record is from RNAcentral.
UACGCAGGGUGCAAGCGUUAUCCGGAUUCACUGGGUUUAAAGGGUGCGUAGGCGGGGAAGUAAGUCCGUGGUGAAAUCUCUGAGCUUAACUCAGAAACUGCCGUGGAUACUAUUUGCCUUGAAUAUUGUGGAGGUGAGCGGAAUAUGUCAUGUAGCGGUGAAAUGCUUAGAUAUGACAUAGAACACCAAUUGCGAAGGCAGCUCACUACACAAUCAUUGACGCUGAGGCACGAAAGCGUGGGGAUCAAACAGG